RNAcentral lists this ribosomal RNA (1372 nucleotides) under uncultured bacterium. RNAcentral's name for it is "bacterial SSU rRNA". It matches the Rfam family "Bacterial small subunit ribosomal RNA", at positions 28 to 1381 of the family's 1533-position model. The record is from RNAcentral.
GUUGAACGCUGGCGGCGUGCCUAAUACAUGCAAGUCGAGCGAACGGACGAGAAGCUUGCUUCUCUGAUGUUAGCGGCGGACGGGUGAGUAACACGUGGAUAACCUACCUAUAAGACUGGGAUAACUUCGGGAAACCGGAGCUAAUACCGGAUAAUAUUUUGAACCGCAUGGUUCAAAAGUGAAAGACGGUCUUGCUGUCACUUAUAGAUGGAUCCGCGCUGCAUUAGCUAGUUGGUAAGGUAACGGCUUACCAAGGCAACGAUGCAUAGCCGACCUGAGAGGGUGAUCGGCCACACUGGAACUGAGACACGGUCCAGACUCCUACGGGAGGCAGCAGUAGGGAAUCUUCCGCAAUGGGCGAAAGCCUGACGGAGCAACGCCGCGUGAGUGAUGAAGGUCUUCGGAUCGUAAAACUCUGUUAUUAGGGAAGAACAUAUGUGUAAGUAACUGUGCACAUCUUGACGGUACCUAAUCAGAAAGCCACGGCUAACUACGUGCCAGCAGCCGCGGUAAUACGUAGGUGGCAAGCGUUAUCCGGAAUUAUUGGGCGUAAAGCGCGCGUAGGCGGUUUUUUAAGUCUGAUGUGAAAGCCCACGGCUCAACCGUGGAGGGUCAUUGGAAGCUGGAAAACUUGAGUGCAGAAGAGGAAAGUGGAAUUCCAUGUGUAGCGGUGAAAUGCGCAGAGAUAUGGAGGAACACCAGUGGCGAAGGCGACUUUCUGGUCUGUAACUGACGCUGAUGUGCGAAAGCGUGGGGAUCAAACAGGAUUAGAUACCCUGGUAGUCCACGCCGUAAACGAUGAGUGCUAAGUGUUAGGGGGUUUCCGCCCCUUAGUGCUGCAGCUAACGCAUUAAGCACUCCGCCUGGGGAGUACGACCGCAAGGUUGAAACUCAAAGGAAUUGACGGGGACCCGCACAAGCGGUGGAGCAUGUGGUUUAAUUCGAAGCAACGCGAAGAACCUUACCAAAUCUUGACAUCCUUUGACAACUCUAGAGAUAGAGCCUUCCCCUUCGGGGGACAAAGUGACAGGUGGUGCAUGGUUGUCGUCAGCUCGUGUCGUGAGAUGUUGGGUUAAGUCCCGCAACGAGCGCAACCCUUAAGCUUAGUUGCCAUCAUUAAGUUGGGCACUCUAAGUUGACUGCCGGUGACAAACCGGAGGAAGGUGGGGAUGACGUCAAAUCAUCAUGCCCCUUAUGAUUUGGGCUACACACGUGCUACAAUGGACAAUACAAAGGGCAGCGAAACCGCGAGGUCAAGCAAAUCCCAUAAAGUUGUUCUCAGUUCGGAUUGUAGUCUGCAACUCGACUACAUGAAGCUGGAAUCGCUAGUAAUCGUAGAUCAGCAUGCUACGGUGAAUACGUUCCCGGGUCU